UUUAAACCCUAAAUAUGAAUUAAAUCUCAUAUCA
RNAcentral lists this transfer RNA (34 nucleotides) under Haementeria tuberculifera. RNAcentral describes it as "partial tRNA-Leu". The record is from RNAcentral. Lineage: Eukaryota; Metazoa; Annelida; Clitellata; Rhynchobdellida; Glossiphoniidae.